GUGCCUACGGGGGGCAGCAGUGAGGAAUAUUGGUCAAUGGCCGCAGGGCUGAACCAGCCAAGUCGCGUGAGGGAUGACGGUCCUAUGGAUUGUAAACCUCUUUUGUCAGGGAGCAAAGGGCGCCACGUGUGGCGUUCUGCGAGUACCUGAAGAAAAAGCAUCGGCUAACUCCGUGCUAGCAGCCGCGGUAAUACGGAGGAUGCGAGCGUUGUCCGGAUUUAUUGGGUUUAAAGGGUGCGCAGGCGGGAGAUCAAGUCAGCGGGAAAAUGUCGGGGCUCAACCCCGGCCGGCCGUUGAAACUGGUU
This 305-nucleotide ribosomal RNA is filed under the name uncultured bacterium. Its description in RNAcentral is "bacterial SSU rRNA". It matches the Rfam family "Bacterial small subunit ribosomal RNA", at positions 335 to 638 of the family's 1533-position model. The record is from RNAcentral.